Varanus komodoensis (Komodo dragon) is the source of this 2989-nucleotide RNA transcript. It is a transcript of the gene named 5-methyltetrahydrofolate-homocysteine methyltransferase reductase, with no coding region annotated. Lineage: Eukaryota; Metazoa; Chordata; Lepidosauria; Squamata; Varanidae. The record is from RefSeq and is a predicted model, not a curated record. The transcript is spliced from 15 exons.
UCGCUGCGAGCGGCUUCCCCUCCUCCCCCUCCCCGCUGCUCGCGCCGGCGAUCCCGCAGCAUGGGCGGCGAGGCCCGCGGGCGGUUCCUGCUGCUGUACGCGAGCCAGAAGGGGCAGGCGAAGGCCAUCGCGGAGGAGAUCGAGCAGCGGGCGAGGGAGCGCGGCUUCCAGGCGGACCUGCGCUGCGUCAGUGAGAGAGGCGAGUAUAACUUGGAGAGCGAAAAGGACCCUUUGGUGAUAGUUACUUCCACGACGGGUACAGGAGAACCUCCUGACACAGCAGCCAAGUUCAUUAAAGAAAUUAAUAACAAAGCUCUGCCGUCAGACCACUUUUCCCAUUUACGAUAUGGAUUGCUAGGCCUGGGAGACUCCGAAUACACAUUUUUCUGCAAUGGCGGGAAGAUAAUAGACAAACGGCUUCAGGAGCUUGGAGCACAGCGCUUCUGCGAGGUGGGGCUAGCAGAUGAUGCUGUAGGUCUGGAACUGGUGGUUGAGCCAUGGAUUGCCGGACUUUGGAUUGCCCUGAAACGGGAAUUUGCAUCCAGGAAAGAAGAAACAGACUGCAGUGACCAGACUGCCCCUUUUACCGGCAACACAGAUUCUGAUUCAUGCAUUGGAUCCAAAAUUGCACAACUGAAGCUAGACGACUCAGAGGUGAAAAAUGAUCCCUCAUCAGAAGCGAAUAUAGACUCAGAAGUGGCCAUUCAGUACUUGCAGCCUUCACUUUUUCAAUCAGUGCCUCCACUUUCACAGUCUGCUCUUAAUAUUCCGGCAUUACCAUCAGAAUACCUAGAAGUGCAGCUUCAAGAAAACUCUGACCAGGAUACCAACCUGCCCCAUGUUUCAGAGAGCUCCGUCUUCCGGGUUCCUAUCACCAAGGCCAUUCAGCUCACUAGGGACGAUGCAGUGAAGAAGACCUUGCUGCUAGAACUUGAUAUUUCUAAAACAGCAUUUAGCUACCAGCCUGGAGAUGCCUUCAAUGUCGUUUGCCCCAAUAAUGCCAGCGAGGUGGAUGCGCUCCUUCGCCUCUUGGGACUGGAGGAGAAGAAAGAUUACCUUGUUUCCUUGAAGGUUAAAGCAAACACGAACAAAAGAGGAGCAUCUGUGCCACAAUAUAUCCCUGAAAAGAGUACUGUGAAAUUCAUUCUGAUGUGGUGUUUGGAAAUAAGAGCAUGUCCCAAAAAGGCAUUUUUACGCUCCCUGAUAGAAUAUACCACUGACGCUGGAGAAAAACGGCGGCUCCAGGAACUGUGCAGCAAGCAGGGAUCCUCGGAUUAUAAUGCUCUCGUGCGAGAUGCCGGCGCCUGCCUAGCGGACCUCCUCCAGGCUUUCCGCACGUGCAGGCCUCCGCUCAGCCUCCUGAUCGAAAACCUUCCAAAACUGCAAGCCAGACCCUACUCAGCUGCAAGCUCUAGCUUAUUUCAACCGGGAAAGCUGAGCUUCGUCUUUAACGUUCUGGAGUUUCCAUCCCUUCUUGGAGAAAGGCGAAGAGGUGUCUGUACUGGCUGGCUGGCCGACUUGGUCACCCCACUCCUUCAGUCGAGCGUGAAGGGUGAGGGACUCUUAAUUCCAAAGAUCUCCAUCUCAUCCCGUCCAGCCAACAUUUUCCAUUUACCAGAUGAUCCAUCGGUUCCCCUUGUUAUGGUUGGUCCAGGAACUGGAAUUGCGCCAUUUAUCGGCUUCCUGCAACAUAGGCAGAAACUCAAAGAGGCUCACAAAGACUGGCUGUUUGGAGAGACAUGGCUGUUUUUCGGCUGCCGCCACAAGGCCAAAGACUACCUGUUUGAAGGUGAGCUCAGGCGCUUCAUUGAGGAUGGCACCCUGACGCAUCUGAAGGUCUGUUUCUCCAGAGACGCCCCGGCUGCGGCGGGAGCCGCCACUCCUAAAUACGUUCAAGAUAACCUUCGGCUUUUUUCGAGAGAGAUUAGCAGGCUUUUGCUGCAGGAGAACGGGUAUUUUUAUGUGUGUGGAGAUGCAAAGCAUAUGGCGAAAGACGUGAACGAUACUUUAGUGGAUGCCUUAAUUGCUGAGAAAGGAGUUGACAAGCUGCACGCACUGAAAAUGCUGGCUACUUUGAGAGAGGAAAAGAGGUACCUGCAGGACCUCUGGGCCUAAGAACUGGCUGGACAGUCUGGCAUUGGGAGCCCGAUGGCAGUUCUGCUCAUUUCCCACCAGAGUGAUGCGGACAAUGACCUUUUGAAUAUAUAUUGUGAUACUCAAGUCGCUCGUCUAGUAAUAAAUGAGCCUUCUCCCCUCCUAAUUAAAAAGUGCUCUUUCCUGCACCGACAACAAUAAUUGGUUUCAGGGAUGUUUCCCAAUCUAAGGUUUUUCAGAAGCGACAUCAGUUGUUUCCAUCCAAUGGUUCAGGAAGUUUCAGCUUUCAUUAAGUGCCUUCCCUGUUUGUAGAUCUUCUCUGAGCAAGGUUGGCAGAUGGCUUAGAAUAUGGGCGAAAUAAAGACUCUAAAGUGUGCUAAGCAGGAAAUGUUCUAAGGGAUGCAUCUGAAAAUACGGUAGCAUGUGCAACAUUACUUCUCUUGAAAACAGUUUAAAAUCCGGAAGCCAUUUUUAUGUACUUUUUGGAACUGUUGCCGUGACUGAUGAGAGAAAAGAUGCCUGGCCAUCUUCUCAAGUUCAGCACCAGCCUAAUCUGGUGCAUUAUGCAAGUCCCACGCUGCACAAAUGAAGGCAUAGAGGCAGCAAAACAAUGGAAAACUCUCGGAUUUGGUUUUUGCUACCACCUGAGAUUGUGUAAAAUGCAAAGACGUUUUGAAGAAGCUAAGGGAAAAGCUCAGUCACCCUUGUAAUUAAGACUACAGAAUUCUUUGCCCAUCACUUUUUAAAUGUCGCUGAGACUCAUUUUAGAGGUUUUAUAGAGCUUCAGCUUUAAAAAUGAUUGGAGAGUGUGAGACCUCCAGUUUUAUAGAUGCAGGACUGGUGCUUCUUUCCAGAACUGAUGACAGAAUAAAAAUGGAACGCUGGUUUUAUGAAA